RNAcentral lists this long non-coding RNA (1010 nucleotides) under Equus caballus (horse). RNAcentral's name for it is "lncRNA (ENSECAG00000055923.1)". The record is from RNAcentral. Lineage: Eukaryota; Metazoa; Chordata; Mammalia; Perissodactyla; Equidae.
AAUAGAUUUUCAUGAAGGAAAAUCACAUCCCUACCAUGAGCACAGCUGAGAACAUGAAACCUACUAUUGAGAGAUUCUGGUUAAAAUAAAGUAUUAUCCCCGAAGAUGGGCCUGUCCGUGGGGGUCUGUGGGAAGCCAGGUGGGAGGGCAUUGCAGGUCCUGCUGGAAAUGAGUAGGUGAAAAACAUCUGUCCAUCCAAGGAUGAUUAAUCUCAAUCAUGGGGCUGUUAGGAAGCCCUGGCUUUCCCUUCCUGGCAGGAGGCGAGAGUGGAUAAUUCACUGUCACAAAAGAAGGAGUAGAAGUAGGGAGGGGGAGAGGAGGCUGCAUUGUGAGCUCCGGACUCCCAAACUCAGGGGGAUGGCCACACUCCGAUUUCUUCCUUUUCGGGGCUCAAGGAAUCCUGCUCUGUCCUCCUUCCAUCCAUGCAGCCUAGCCAUCUUCCAAGCCUUGGCUCAAACCCCUCUCCUUCGUUCGGCCCUCCUUGAUGACUCACCUGGAGGUCAUCUCUCUCUGAGGUCACUCGGCAGUGCUGCUGUUUCCUUCCUCGCAUUGUUGCUGUGAAUGCUGUGUGAGGACAUCUCUGCCAUUGCCUUAUGUGCCUUCUGGGAAGAGCUGAUGAUGCCCACAUGAAAGACAAGAGCCCCAGGGACCUCUAAUGAGAGACAGGCCAUAAGAAGCCACAAUGCGGCUGGGAUCCUCUGCAGUGGAAUUAAUCUGUGUUGAAUAAUUGAGUCCUGUGCAUCUCAUUUUGAAGGCUACUAAUCAUUCCUUUCAUUUCUUUACCUUCUACAGUUGUUAACUGAGCACUGACUCUGUGCCGGGCCCAGGGGUGGGCUUCAGAACUCUUUGGGAAGGGCUAUGGUACUUGUUUCUCCAAGAACCCAGUCUAGGGAGGAGCCUGGAGUGUGUGUACACAUAAUGAGUUGGAGAAUCCCAUUCAUUUAGGUCUGGGGGUGCUUUCUGGCAGGAUGAGCACUUGGAAGCCCAGGAUGGGCUGCCCCUCCCCAGGG